Molecule: transfer RNA, 24 nt
Filed under: Sphaerocarpos michelii
Lineage: Eukaryota; Viridiplantae; Streptophyta; Marchantiopsida; Sphaerocarpales; Sphaerocarpaceae
Description: partial tRNA-His
Source: RNAcentral
UUAAUCCACUUGGCUACGUCCGCC